AGUGAACGCUGGCGGUAGGCCUAACACAUGCCAGUCGAACGGCAGCACAGUAAGAGCUUGCUCUUACGGGUGGCGAGUGGCGGACGGGUGAGGAAUACAUCGGAAUCUACUUUUUCGUGGGGGAUAACGUAGGGAAACUUACGCUAAUACCGCAUACGACCUACGGGUGAAAGCAGGGGAUCUUCGGACCUUGCGCGAUUGAAUGAGCCGAUGUCGGAUUAGCUAGUUGGCGGGGUAAAGGCCCACCAAGGCGACGAUCCGUAGCUGGUCUGAGAGGAUGAUCAGCCACACUGGAACUGAGACACGGUCCAGACUCCUACGGGAGGCAGCAGUGGGGAAUAUUGGACAAUGGGCGCAAGCCUGAACCAGCCAUACCGCGUGGGUGAAGAAGGCCUUCGGGUUGUAAAGCCCUUUUGUUGGGAAAGAAAAGCAGCAGGUUAAUACCCCGCUGUUCUGACGGUACCCAAAGAAUAAGCACCGGCUAACUUCGUG
This 492-nucleotide ribosomal RNA is filed under the name uncultured bacterium. RNAcentral describes it as "partial 16S ribosomal RNA". It matches the Rfam family "Bacterial small subunit ribosomal RNA", at positions 29 to 507 of the family's 1533-position model. The record is from RNAcentral.